UCGAGAAUCUUCCGCAAUGGGCGAAAGCCUGACGGAGCGACGCCGCGUGUAGGAUGAAGGCCCUCGGGUUGUAAACUACUGUCACGGGUUAUGAAUGUGCAUAUGUUAACAGCGUGUGUAUUGACGUAAGCCCGAAAGGAAGCACCGGCUAACUCUGUGCCAGCAGCCGCGGUAAUACAGAGGGUGCAAACGUUGUUCGGAAUUACUGGGCAUAAAGCGCGCGUAGGCGGCGACGUAAGUGUAGGGUGAAAUCCCACGGCUCACCCGUGUGAAUUGCCCCGCAUACUGCGUUGCUCGAGUGUGGUAGGGGAGAGCGGAACUCCUGGUGGAGCGGUGAAAUGCGUAGAUAUCAGGAGGAACACCGGUGGCGUAGGCGGCUCUCUGGUCCAUAACUGACGCUGAAGUGCGAAAGCUAGGGUAGCGAACGGGAUUAGAUACCCUAGUAGUCCCUGAGCGGGCUGGCAAGGCGCAU
This 472-nucleotide ribosomal RNA is filed under the name uncultured bacterium. Its description in RNAcentral is "bacterial SSU rRNA". It matches the Rfam family "Bacterial small subunit ribosomal RNA", at positions 355 to 825 of the family's 1533-position model. The record is from RNAcentral.